AGGGGCGUAGCUCAGUUGGUAGAGCACCGGAUUCCAAAUCCGACGGUCGGGAGUUCGAGUCUCUCCGCCCCUGCCA
RNAcentral lists this transfer RNA (76 nucleotides) under Jannaschia sp. CCS1. Its description in RNAcentral is "tRNA-Trp (CCA) (tRNA-Trp-CCA-1-1)". It matches the Rfam family "tRNA". Rfam says of the family: Transfer RNA (tRNA) molecules are approximately 80 nucleotides in length. Their secondary structure includes four short double-helical elements and three loops (D, anti-codon, and T loops). The record is from RNAcentral. Lineage: Bacteria; Pseudomonadati; Pseudomonadota; Alphaproteobacteria; Rhodobacterales; Roseobacteraceae. RNAcentral also lists the same sequence under 4 other names.